Molecule: ribosomal RNA, 440 nt
Filed under: uncultured bacterium
Lineage: Bacteria
Description: partial 16S ribosomal RNA
Rfam family: Bacterial small subunit ribosomal RNA
Source: RNAcentral
CCUACGGGAGGCAGCAGUAGGGAAUAUUGCUCAAUGGGGGAAACCCUGAAGCAGCAACGCCGCGUGGAGGAUGAAGGUUUUAGGAUUGUAAACUCCUUUUGGGAGAGAAGAGAAUGACGGUAUCUCACGAAUAAGCACCGGCGAACGCCGUGCCAGCAGCCGCGGUAAUACGGAGGGUGCAAGCGUUACUCGGAAUGACUGGGGGUAAAGAGUGCGUAGGCGGGCUUGUAAGUCAGAUGUGAAAUCCUGUGGCUUAACUACAGAACUGCCUUUGAAACUCUGAGUCUAGAGUGUGGGAGAGGUAGGUGGAAUUCUUGGUGUAGGGGUCAAAUCCGUAGAUAUCACGAGGAAUACUCAUUGCGAAGGCGACCUACUGGAACAUUACUGACGCUCAUGCACGAAAGCGUGGGGAGCAAACAGGAUUAGCUACCCGUGUAGUC